This 76-nucleotide transfer RNA is filed under the name Caudoviricetes sp. RNAcentral describes it as "tRNA-Ile". It matches the Rfam family "tRNA". From Rfam's summary of the family: Transfer RNA (tRNA) molecules are approximately 80 nucleotides in length. Their secondary structure includes four short double-helical elements and three loops (D, anti-codon, and T loops). The record is from RNAcentral. Lineage: Duplodnaviria; Heunggongvirae; Uroviricota; Caudoviricetes.
AGGCGAAUAGUUUAAUGGUUAAAGCACUCGGCUUAUAUCCGAGCUAGUGUAGGUUCAAGCCCUACUUCGCCUACCA